RNAcentral lists this ribosomal RNA (832 nucleotides) under Salmonella enterica subsp. enterica serovar Paratyphi B var. L(+) tartrate +. RNAcentral's name for it is "partial 23S ribosomal RNA". It matches the Rfam family "Bacterial large subunit ribosomal RNA", at positions 390 to 1220 of the family's 2925-position model. The record is from RNAcentral. Lineage: Bacteria; Pseudomonadati; Pseudomonadota; Gammaproteobacteria; Enterobacterales; Enterobacteriaceae.
GCAUGUGCUGUGAGCUCGAUGAGUAGGGCGGGACACGUGGUAUCCUGUCUGAAUAUGGGGGGACCAUCCUCCAAGGCUAAAUACUCCUGACUGACCGAUAGUGAACCAGUACCGUGAGGGAAAGGCGAAAAGAACCCCGGCGAGGGGAGUGAAAAAGAACCUGAAACCGUGUACGUACAAGCAGUGGGAGCACAGGUUUACCUGUGUGACUGCGUACCUUUUGUAUAAUGGGUCAGCGACUUAUAUUCUGUAGCAAGGUUAACCGUAUAGGGGAGCCGUAGGGAAACCGAGUCUUAACCGGGCGUUAAGUUGCAGGGUAUAGACCCGAAACCCGGUGAUCUAGCCAUGGGCAGGUUGAAGGUUGGGUAACACUAACUGGAGGACCGAACCGACUAAUGUUGAAAAAUUAGCGGAUGACCUGUGGCUGGGGGUGAAAGGCCAAUCAAACCGGGAGAUAGCUGGUUCUCCCCGAAAGCUAUUUAGGUAGCGCCUCGUGAAUUCAUCUCCGGGGGUAGAGCACUGUUUCGGCUAGGGGGCCAUCCCGGCUUACCAACCCGAUGCAAACUGCGAAUACCGGAGAAUGUUAUCACGGGAGACACACGGCGGGUGCUAACGUCCGUCGUGAAGAGGGAAACAACCCAGACCGCCAGCUAAGGUCCCAAAGUCAUGGUUAAGUGGGAAACGAUGUGGGAAGGCCCAGACAGCCAGGAUGUUGGCUUAGAAGCAGCCAUCAUUUAAAGAAAGCGUAAUAGCUCACUGGUCGAGUCGGCCUGCGCGGAAGAUGUAACGGGGCUAAACCAUGCACCGAAGCUGCGGCAGCGACGCUUAUGCG